Molecule: signal recognition particle RNA, 300 nt
Filed under: Saimiri boliviensis boliviensis (Bolivian squirrel monkey)
Lineage: Eukaryota; Metazoa; Chordata; Mammalia; Primates; Cebidae
Description: Metazoan signal recognition particle RNA (ENSSBOG00000008390.1)
Rfam family: Metazoan signal recognition particle RNA
About the family: The signal recognition particle (SRP) is a universally conserved ribonucleoprotein. It is involved in the co-translational targeting of proteins to membranes. The eukaryotic SRP consists of a 300-nucleotide 7S RNA and six proteins: SRPs 72, 68, 54, 19, 14, and 9.
Source: RNAcentral
UCCAGGCAUGGUGGCGUGUACCUAUAGUCCCAGCUACCCGGGAGGCUGAGGUGGGAGGAUCACUUGAGCCCAGGAGUUCUGGGCUGUAGUGCACUAUGUCGAUCAGGUGUCCGCGCUAAGUUUGGCAUCAAUAUGGUGGCCUCCCAGGAGCGGAGGACCACCAGGUUGCCUAAGGAGGGGUGAAUCGGCCCAGGUCGGAAACGGAGCAGGUCAAAAAAUCCCAUGCUGAUCAGUAGUGGGAUCACACCUGUGAAUAGCCACUGCACUCCAGCCUGGGCAACAGAGUGAGACCCCACCUCU